Molecule: ribosomal RNA, 2028 nt
Filed under: Triticum aestivum (bread wheat)
Lineage: Eukaryota; Viridiplantae; Streptophyta; Magnoliopsida; Poales; Poaceae
Description: partial small subunit ribosomal RNA
Source: RNAcentral
AUGCCAUAUGAGGGUCGUCUGAAGCCGUCCGCGGACUUUUUUUCUUCUGAAGAGACCGCAACCUGGGUAUGCUGGGAGGUGACGGCAUGGGCUAGACCUGGGUCAUGCGGCUAUGGCCAUAGUUCUGGGAGAUGGCGACGACGCCCAUUGGUAUUGUUCCCCUUCUUGGAGGCGUUGCUGAGGUGCGUCGGCAUCUCAUCCUUAAAAUUGUGCUUGGUUGUUGACUUUGGGCAAAAUUCUAGGCCCGGUUCUGAAUCGGUGAUAGCAGUGUUCUUGAUGCCGUCCCUCUAUAGGGAGCAUCUUGUACGGAGACACGGCUUGGAGGUCAUGUGUUGCGUUCCUUCGAUGUUCGUUCUAUCCCAGAUUGAUCUUCAGGGGGCGGUAUCUCCCCCGCCUGUGAAAAUCCCUACGCUCGAUUACUUCAAACCCCCGACUAGGUUUCACACCGCCGAGGUCUUCGCCGUCCGUGAUUCAAGCGAGGCCGCGCUCUCUGCUGCCAGAUUUCUCCUAGGGGUUUCAUCCUCUCUUGAUGGUGAACCGCUGAGACGCUGCUCCGGCUUCUUGGUUGAUUGGGAUGAGGAGAAGAAAGCCGGCCUUGUUUUGACAACUGCGCGUCUGAUUCGCACAAAGGAUUCUCCUGACAGCGGCUGGUCAGGUGGCGAAGAGUAUGCUCCUCGUGCUGAUGUCACUGUUCAUUUGCUAAAUGGCACCAGUGCAAAGGGCGAUCUGGUCUACUAUCAGCCCCAUUACGAUAUCGCUUUCUUGAUUGUUGAGGUGGAUCAACCAAUCAAGUUAUCAUCUUUUCGUGAAGAAGAUGUAAAAUUUGCUCAAGAUGUUUUUCGGCUCGGAAGAGACGAUUCCUUAAAUCUAAGGAUAACAUAUGCUAGGGCAGAAUAUAAGAAUCCAAACAUGUAUCGGCGGUACCACAAUGUGUAUUUCCGUUCUCCAGACGAGCAUGGUGAUGAUAAUGAGUAUGACAAUGGGACCCUAGUCAUUGACUUGAAUGAAAACGUUGUCGGAAUGGUCAACGUCCCUAAGAGAUUUGGGUCUUUUAUACCUUCUUCCAUUUUGCUCAACUGUUUGGAUUCAUGGAAGAAAUAUCGGAUAUCGGUAACUGGUAGCAUACGGUUGGGUGUUGAGUUAGGGAUUAAUUGGCUUAUCAGCCUAUUAACUGAAUUCAUUGGAGAGCGACACUGCAGCAGCAGAACAGCAGCAGUAUUACAUCAGAGAGGAGAGCAGUUUACCUUGCAGCCUGGUGAAGCCAUGGAUAGAGGACAGGAGGAGCAUAUGGCGAAGCAGCUGGAGGAGUGGAGGUGCAUCGCCCGGCCCCAUCUUGGGAUGAUGUUUCAAGCCAUCAAGCUUCUAGAACCUGCUCAUGUUGACAUGUUAUGGCGUAUGUAUAACAUUGAUCAUGGUCUUAUUGUUCAAGAGUUGGAAAAUAUGUUGAUGAUCACAUGCAAGGGCCCUUCAGGUGCUGAAGUUCAUAUAUCUGUGGUGCACAGCAAAUCCAGUCCUCGUUCUCAUCAAGUUCUCGUUCCCGUCCUCUUCCUUCUGUUCGACGAGCCCGGCGAGAGGAACCAACACCGUCGGCGGCGGCGGCGUCAUCCUCCACCUCGUCCCAUUCACUAUAAACGACGUGCUCGACUUCAGGAAAGAAGAUUAAGGCGCGACAUCUGCGGCGGCAGUGUCGGCGGCGGCACUAUAGGAACUCGCCCCCGCCGAUCACAUCACUUCCGGGCUUGCAUCCUAAGAUGGAUCUAUACUCUGCGGUUGGCCCCUCGGUUAGGCCGCCGGGAGAUAUCAAUGCUUGUUCUGAAAAAUCCUCCUCCGAUCUAUUCGUCGCCGCUCCUGACCUUCUCCGUCCUCGACCUGCCCGGCGAGAGGAAUAAAUUCAUCGUCCUCGUCCUCCACCCAACCAACCCCAGCCCCCCACGCCGUCACCGAAGAAGAAGAAGGCCGGAUCUGCGCCGGCUGAAUCGGUGGCGACCGCGGCGGGCGAUCCCAUCUCUUCGCGCGUACCAUCCUUAA